AUUUUUUCCUGUUUCUGAAUAUCAGCAUGCCUUCAAGGGGGAAUAUCACCACUCUUUCCAAAUUAGUUUAUGUAUUUACCCAUGCUCCAAAAAACGUGUGGAAUAUUAGCUGUGACCAGGUGGACAGAAUUGCACUAGCCGCUUCAAAUUUUGGGUUACUAAACUGGAGACGCCAUAUAAUUGGCACAAAACAACAAGCAAAUACUGUGCCAGAUGGCACCAAGAACAGAAAAUGACGGUACGAUGACCAGUUUAAAGGAGAAGAGUUCUUCAUAGGCAGGUUCAGGAGUCACGUAGGAGCCUUCUCCAAACUGAGUUCGGGUCCAAAACACAGAUAACCUCUUGUAGGGAUCGUUGGGUUUUUAUAGAACCCCUACUGAAAGGAUAUGCCAGUUCUGGGUACCGUGGUCGGGUCAGUUGCCUACUUCUGGUGUCUUCUCGGAGUUGCAGGUUGAAAGGGAGAAAACAGAAGCGUGACCAUCUCCCUCUUGUCCCAUUGUGAUACCGCGUACCUAAGCAGAACCAGGAAGGUGAUCCCCAGAUGCACACGCACAAGCAUACCUUCCAAACUCCCUGUUCUGUCUGAAUUAGUUUCUGUAUAUCAGCUUUUGGAUGUCUGAGGAGAAAGUGUUCCCCUUCCCCGCUCUCCAAAAAAUGUACACCUUCAGACCUCCAAACAGAACAACUCUCUGAAAUAGAGGUCCAAAAGCACCUUGACAUACAGAAACUGAGUGGACCCCCAGCUUUUUUCAGGUUUGGAAACUGUAAUAUCGUCAUGAGCGUGAGGAUGCUUUUCUGAUUUCUGUCGUGACGUUUCAAUCUUUGAAUAACUGAUCGAGAAGGAAGCGAAAUGUGAGCAGCGGAGAUCUGCCGAUAAACCGAAAGGAGCAGUUGGAUAGAAGCAAAAGAUCGAAACUUUACAGAUCACAGAUUGUUCUCAUCAUAAAAAUAAAUUUCAAGUUAUAAACGAUUGCUUAGAGAAAACCAGAAAUUAUACCUAAGAGUGAACUACCCCGGUAGAUAAAUGGAAGACCACAAAAUGACAAGAUCAGGAGAUGAGAAAGAGAGAAAGACAGCAAGACACGGUACGCAAGUAAAAGUGGAAAAAUACAAAGUCCAUAAUCCCAAAUUCGUUUAUUUUCCACCGCUUAUCCAAAACCGGGUGACGAGGGCAACAGUCUUAGCAGCGAGGCCCACACGUCCCUUUCCCCAGCCACACUUGCUAACUCGUAUUGUGGGAUCCCAAGGUGUUACCAGGCCCUCUGGGAGACAUAAUCCUCCCGGCGAGCCCUGGGUCUUCCCCAGGGUCUCCUCCAAUCUGGUCCUGCCUGCAAAACCUCCCCAGGGAGGCAUCCAGGAGGCUUCUGUAUCAUUACCAAAUUAUCUUUUAAAAUACCUAGAAUACACUAAGAUUUUUUUAAUUUUAAAAUCCGGAAUUUCGGACAUGGAGGAGAGGAUGCUGCCAUGUUUAAUACUGUCAGUAUGGCGAUAUCACUUAUUGCACUAGAUGACAGCAACCGAGGAGCAACCAGUAUGGCAGCACCCAAAAAGAUGACCACUAAAAUGGCAGCAAAAUUGUAAACAUUAACAUUAAAAAUGAAUAACAAAACCCUAAAAUAUAGACCCAGACGAGAUCUACGGAAAAUAACAGAAUGAAAAGUUUUUUUGUUUUCGAGAGUGAGUUUCUCGUGGAGGUUCUUCUUUGCUGUUAGCAAAGUUUGGACUUCAUCUUACAAAUAGGCUCAAUCUUAAAUACGAUAGCCACCAGGACGUGAUACACACGUGACGUUAAGCGUGGUUCACAUAGUUAUCGUAGCCAAGAUGCAAAUGUGCAAGUCCAGCAGAUGUAGAAAUCAGCAUGAAAUGACUGGGAGAUGAUGCCAGUACUGAAAGAGCUAAUCCGAGAGUAAAAGUCAAGAGUCAAAAAUGAUGGGAAACCAAGUGUUAAAAUUUGAAGCGAAAUAAGGAAAAGAUCCUGAUGAUAACCAAAUUUCUUCUCCCAUUCUAAUAAACCGUUAAUCAUUAUUAAGCAAAUCCAAUGCCUGAACGGCGAGUAAUGCACGCUGCCAUAUUAUAUAAUGUUGACAAGAUAACGUCACACUUCACCACAUCGGUAAAUUGCGCUGACACAGUGGCGGCCAGGUAGACAAGUUUGAAAGGGAAAACCAACCAGAAAUGCUGCUGCAACAUCUUUAUUAACAUGACCAUAAGAAUGACGAUGUAAAAACCCUAAACCAGCGCGCCCCAAACGUAUUCCCGACAUUAGCGUUGUAGUUGCAAUGGCCACGAUGUCUCCAACGUAGAACGGAGAAAACAAAUCAAGACAAAACGGUUGGCCAGAAUAAGGAUGCCAUUUCUGAAUUUCGUAUACCUGGAUGUAACAGAGUUAAGGAGUUGGUCUAUUGCAAAAGCCACGCAGGGAACGUUACAAACUUAUCUUCGAGAAUAUCAAUAGAGGACGCCUGGGCUCCUGCCGCGUUGCUUUAGCUCCAUGAAAUUGGAUUCAUAUUAGUGAGAAGAACACAGAGACAUGUCGCCAGAUUACCGAAUUGGUCGCAGUAACUUGAGUUCUGACUGAUAGAGGGGCUCACUCUUAAUAGAAAAACUCGAUACUUGACGCCUUCAUAAAAAGGAGUUCUGAACUCUGACUCGACUUAGAACCUCCCGAUAUUUCAAAUGGAAUAAACUGAGGACGUUUGACAGGACACUCGAAGAUGUCAAGGAAGUGUCGGGGUACCAGGCUGGUCACCCUUUUUAAUCAAAAUGAAUGCUUGAUGGUGUUACAGGUAAUUUAAAACUAAAGAAAAGGAGUCUUCGUGAUGUUCCUUUAAUGGUAUUUGGCGCGAUAGAGCAGGUGGUCCUCGGGAGAUCUGUGCUAUUUACAGUUUGGGUCUGAUAUGAGACGCCAUGAUGGUGUCCGCUCUUUUAUAGUCCUCUGGCCAGCAGCAGUGGAGUCCAGUUGUCCUCAAUGGGCGUCUUCUCACUGCCUUGGGUGACAAAAGAGACAACAAUGUUAGCAACCCACGCCCCCUUUCACCCUCAGGUGGUAUCUCUUACCUCCAAUAAACUUAGAAGGUGAUCCUCCGACGUGUCUGUGUGACAGAACUUUGUGUAAAAUAUCAACACUCAUCACCACAACCCACUCAUGUUAAAGGUACUGUAGGCCACUUGCUCUUUACAGUUUUUCAUGAUGUUCACAAGGAACAUGUGACUUGGCAAAAUUAGUUCAUUUUUAAAGUUGCUCAUCAUGGGUUGAACAGUCGAAGUGCUAAAUCUCGAUGAAUUUAAGUUCUUUGUUUAUUUUCUGGGCUGCAUCUUCUAUGUGUUGCAUGAAAGUACAAUCAAAUUUUUAAGUUUUCACAUUUGUGCCUUCUUACAUGGGCAGUGGUGCUGCAGUAGGUGUCUGAAGCGUACGAGCAAUGGUUGAGGGACCAAACAGGUCUCAGACUAGAUGACAGUUUCUCCAGCAUACAAGGUCUCUAAGAUGUCCUCUUCUGUCAUUUCUGGAGUGUAUUUCACUUAGAGCCAAGCUGUUGGAAUGGGAUGCGCUUAAAUGUGGGUGGGGUUCAAAGUUUAACUCCACCCAUAAAUGUGUAGAUGUCAGAGUUUUUGUCCCGACCACACAUUCAAGCACAUCAGAGGUCAGGUACUCACCGACAAUGGCAUUAACUCAAUGGAGUCUUGCUGCAGAUUUCCACAACUAUGGUCCAUCUGAUGAUGUUUAGUGGCCUUUGUUUCAAAUGUCAGUAAUGUUACAUGGGUGGAGUUGGUUUAGCUCCGCCCAAAAUUUGCAGAUGCCACAUGUUUUGUUCUACUUACACAUUCAAGCAGGAAUUGCACAUCAGAGGUCAGCUACUCGCCGACAAUGGCAUAAACUCAAUAGAAUCUUACUGCAGACCUCCAGAGCUCCGCUCCAUUGCGUAGCCAAUCAUUGUUCACAUCUGGUGACAUUUAGUGGCCUUACCCAACACUCGAUUUAUUUAUUUAUUUAUUUCUCAGUAUGUUCAUUUCAAGGUGUACCUUGCACUUCAUUCUCAUAAAACAUCCUUAUACUAUGGGAAGGAUUAGGAUUGUGGGAAAAUGGCUAUCAGGGAUCUCGUAGUGUGCAUGUCGUGGGACUGCCUGUUGGGUAGCAGCACUGUCAAGGAGACUCUCAUUGGAGUGUCCCCUAUGUAAACCAUGUGAUGUAAACAUGCAAUCUGAUUGGCUAUUCAACAGCUAGGCCCUUCUCCAUAAACUAUCCAUCCAUCCAUCUAUUAUCCAACCCGCUUUAUCCUAAGUACAGGGUCACAGGGGUCUGCUGGAGCCAACCAUAAACUAUCUUCCUAUGCAAUAAAUACUUUGACUUCAGCCUACACCAAUCCAAAUGGGCUUUGGCUUCAAAUGUUCUAAUUAAAAAAUAUAUACACAUAUUAUAUAUAUAUAUAUAUAUAUAUAUAUAUAAACAUACAUAUAAACAGUAUAUUUUUUACUGAGGUAUAUUGUGUAUAUAUGCAUGUGUGCAUAUAUAUGUAUAAAUUCUAUUGUCACACAUGCGUGUCGGAGGACUUCCUCAUAUGCUCAGUUGAGGUACAGGAUGUAAUAACCCACCAUGGCGAAAGGGGCACUUCCCCUAAUGCUGUCAUCUCUUUCUUUCCCCACAGUGCCAUGAAGAUGCCUAGUGAAGGCAUUUAGCCCCGCCCCUUUUGGUCCCACCACCAUAAAUUCCUAGGCUAUCCUGGAUGGAGGCAUCACGUUUAGCCAAAGAAACCCGUGGGACAGAGUCCCACUAAGGAUAGUGAAAGCUCCAUUCUUUCUUUGUUUUGAAUUACCUUUAAUGGGACGCGUGCCAACAAACGCGAUUUCAGUUGUUUUCCUUUAAUUUUCUUGUCUUCGGAAAAGUAAAAGGGACGACCUGGUUGGGCCUUAAAAUUUCUUGCCAUAGUCCUGAGCUGUCAUUCCUGCACCUGAGUGUGGUGUUGAGGUGUCACCUGUUGCACAGAUGCACUCAGAUCUCAAUCUGUGUGGUGGGUGGAGCAGCAUGCUGUUAUCAGCACAUAUUAUAUUAUAUUAUAUAUAUAUAUAUUACAUACACAUACAAAUAAUAUAAGAGAGAGAGAGAGAAACAAAGUUUAAUCAAAAUGCCUUCACAAAGGAGCGGAUUACCAUAAACCCCUGGCUUCUUGAGAGAGGCAAGACAAAAGAAUUUUUGGUAAAAAGUAAGAAAAAUAACGGAAUUUUAAACAAAAUGCUGCAAAGAGCAAACAGGAGGCAAAAGGAUAUUCCAACCAGGCAAUCUAAAAGCAAAGUCCCAAUACAAAUUUGUUAAACAAAAUCCUCAAUCAAAGGCCAAAAAAGAGCUGACGAGAGCAGUGAAUUCAGAAGAAACAACGCAGUACUCACAGAAACACCACGCUCUCCACCAACAUGCAUUUGAUGAACUGGGGGGUGGGGGUUUAGUAACUCAGCAGUGAUGGAUAGUGGUGUUUGUGUGGGGGGGGGGGGGGUUCUGCCUCCUAUACUCUGGUCAACUAAAUAUUCUUAAACAUGACAAAAACAAGAAUACAUUGACCCAGCGUUCCUUAAAUUUUUUUUUCUUGUGGCCCAGUCUUACCCCUCUUUGUUUUUUCGAGACCCGUGAUGAACAUCAGAUCUUGCGGGAGGGUCUCCCUUGGAGAAUCGCCCUUGACAGUCAUAGCACAGUGGGGUCCCUUUGGAGAAACAUUGCUGACAUUCAUAGCUGGGGACGGAGGUUGGUGGACCCCCCCCCCCUUGGAGAACUGCCACCGACAGGCAUUACAGAGCACUGCCUGUGGUGACCCAUCGUGUGACACUUCACAAACCUUACGUAACCUUUUCCCAUUAAUUACAACCGCAAGGUACAGCCCAAUAGGCGGCAACCUGUGACCCAUUUUGGGUCGUGACCCAUAAGUUUAAGAAACUAGGCAUUAAAUAUAUUAAUUAAAUAACAGAUAUAAUAAACAAUCUAAACGUAAAAAUAAGUGAAAAAGCCAAGGAAUGUAAACAUGGGCCACAGAGGAAACCCUGAGUGAAACAUAACAAGUGGCAGACUAUUUCUAGGUGAGAAAAGCAGCUUAUGCCACUGCCUGCCUGUGUGAUUUCUGCUGUGCCGACUGAGUGAGCAGGACCCGCGUCUACUAUUAUGGGUGGAGUCAGGCGUUUAACUCCGCCCACGUGAUGGAUGCUGUUAAAUGUUGAACUAAUGGAGGUACACCUGCAGCGAGGCGCUUCCCUUUAGAACCCUUUUUAGAAACAGCAGAAGUCAAAACGAUCUCCAUGAACAAAACUGUCCAGUCUUCACGUUUUUGGCCUCUGCUGUUUCGAGACGUUUACUGGAAGCUGUGGCGCUUUAUCGUUACGUCAAUUUAGUGAGCACCACGACCAGAUGGCUUUGUCCUGCGGUUUCUUAUUUAUUUGUAUUGACUUCUGUCUUCUUCACAACGCUUGUCCCAAUGUAACACAAGCACAUGGGUUGGGGAGCGAGCUUCAGAAUUAGGGGCAUUACUCGUUGGUGGGGGGGGGGGGGGAGGGGCGGGGUCUCCAUUUUUAUGUUCGUUGCACAGGUUAUUUCAUUUUAGUUUCCUCACAUUGCAGCUGGAUGUAAAAUAGCAUGUUUUUGUGUAUUGGGCAGAUUUGCCAAAAUGCACCAGAGGGGAGCGGCGAUGCCCCUCCUGCUGUGCAGUUGCAUGUGUGCCGUGGCCGCCUCUGUCAUUUGUGUGCAUCAGCAUGCCAAGCAUAUCAGCGUCCUCAAGAGAGGACCUCAGCAGGUGACCGAUGACCAUUUGUGCAAAACAACCUGCACUUGGCAUGUUGUUCCACUGGUGUAAUGACAUGUCUGUGUUUCACAACGUGAAUAAAAAUGUUGUCCGUCUGUACUGCAUAUGCAGAAUGUACGUAUGUGUGUGUGUGUGCGUGUGUGUGUGUGGCGUCCCAUUGAAACUGGAUUGUUCUGUUUUGUCUGUUGUACACCCUGACCUUUUCAUUUUGCAAUAAAGCUGCUUCUCAGA
Molecule: long non-coding RNA, 7007 nt
Organism: Erpetoichthys calabaricus (reedfish)
Lineage: Eukaryota; Metazoa; Chordata; Cladistia; Polypteriformes; Polypteridae
Exons: 2
Source: RefSeq, a predicted model, not a curated record